AAGGAAUACCUGAUGUUUCUUAAGCUAAGUGCCAUACAAUUAAGUUAAUUUUUUCCUUUCUCUUUCUUCUACCUGUGAGAAUGUAUUUCUGUUCUGAAAGCAAUCUGUUUGACUUUAUGAAUUGACUGGGCAGCUGUGAGUUCACAGUUUUGGGGUCCUUCUCAUGAGAUAGAAGAAAUUCGGAUUGUUAGGACAAAAGGUUAAAACAUUUGGCUUAUUCCCCAGAGGCAAAAAUACAAUGUGUUCAUCUUUAAUGUUGGGUUUUCAGAGCAUUAACAGUUAAACCUUCCCCUUGAAGGUCUGAUCAUUGUCUCAGUUCUGUGUUUCUCAUGAUAUUUUCUCAUCUUGCUUUGAUUCCUGAAUAUUUUCGUUCCCUUCUGUGAUCCUCCUGGGCUUUCUCUAUUCUCGAUUCGACUCUCUAAUGUAUUAAGUUACCAAAGGGUUUUCAUUUGACAUCUCUACUGUGUUACUUUGAUUCAAUAACAGAAGCUUUUAUUUAAACUUGAUCCAGUUGUGUUUUGAUUCUUGAAUAGUAUUAUUUGAAAUUAUCUUUAUUGCCUUUUGGUAUUAGUUUAGUUUAACUUAUUUUUCGUUUGACACACGGCUCCUCUGGUGGAAAUAAUCCUGCUGGUGUCUGCUUAUUUCGCUGUGAGGUUGCCUUUGAUCUUUGCGUUUGUCUUCACUUUGCCUGCACCGGGGCUCUGCCUCCUGGUAUUGCUUUGUAUUCCUUUGGUUUCCCUUAACUUGUGUUUUUUUUUUGUUGUUGUUG
RNAcentral lists this long non-coding RNA (769 nucleotides) under Marmota monax (woodchuck). The record is from RNAcentral. Lineage: Eukaryota; Metazoa; Chordata; Mammalia; Rodentia; Sciuridae.